UAGGGAAUCUUCGGCAAUGGGGGGAACCCUGACCGAGCAACGCCGCGUGAGUGAAGAAGGUUUUCGGAUCGUAAAGCUCUGUUGUUAAGGAAGAACGAGUGUGAGAAUGGAAAGUUCAUACUGUGACGGUACUUAACCAGAAAGGGACGGCUAACUACGUGCCAGCAGCCGCGGUAAUACGUAGGUCCCGAGCGUUGUCCGGAUUUAUUGGGCGUAAAGCGAGCGCAGGCGGUUAGAUAAGUCUGAAGUUAAAGGCAGUGGCUCAACCAUUGUAGGCUUGGAAACUGUUUAACUUGAGUGCAGAAGGGGAGAGUGGAAUUCCAUGUGUAGCGGUGAAAUGCGUAGAUAUAUGGAGGAACACCGGUGGCGAAAGCGGCUCUCUGGUCUGUAACUGACGCUGAGGCUCGAAAGCGUGGGGAGCGAACAGG
RNAcentral lists this ribosomal RNA (428 nucleotides) under Bacteroidota bacterium. Its description in RNAcentral is "Bacteroidetes bacterium partial 16S ribosomal RNA". It matches the Rfam family "Bacterial small subunit ribosomal RNA", at positions 355 to 776 of the family's 1533-position model. Lineage: Bacteria; Pseudomonadati; Bacteroidota. The record is from RNAcentral.